This 156-nucleotide unclassified non-coding RNA is filed under the name uncultured fungus. RNAcentral describes it as "sequence contains ITS1, 5.8S rRNA gene". The record is from RNAcentral. Lineage: Eukaryota; Fungi.
CAGAGUUCAUGCCCUAACGGGUAGACCUCCCACCCUUAUACCUACCUUUGUUGCUUUGGCAGGCCGCCUUCGGGCUACCGGCUUCGGCUGGUGCGUGCCUGCCAGAGGACCCCAAACUCUGAAUUUUAAUGUCGUCUGAGUACUAUAUAAUAGUUA